RNAcentral lists this long non-coding RNA (2582 nucleotides) under Homo sapiens (human). RNAcentral's name for it is "PREDICTED lncRNA (TCONS_00175317)". The record is from RNAcentral. Lineage: Eukaryota; Metazoa; Chordata; Mammalia; Primates; Hominidae.
UGUGAAUGUAUUUUUUUAAUCUUGUAUGCUUAGACACAGAGUUACCAUACGUGUUAAGCUGUUUUUAUGGAGCUAUAAAUACCUGAGACCAGGUCAUUUAUAAGAGAAGAGGAUUAAGUGGCUCACAGUUCUGCAGGCUGUACAGGAGCAUAAGGGCUUCUUCCUCUGGGGAGGCCUCAGGAAACUCUUACUCAUGGUGGAAGGUGAAGGGGGAGCAGGCGAGUCACGUGGUGAAAGCGGGAGCAGCGGGGUCGGGGAGGUGCCACACACGUUUAAACACCAGAUCUCACAGGAACCCAGAGUGAGAGCUCACUCUUCACCACGGGGAUGGCUCAAGCCAUUCCUGAGGGAGUCACGCCCGUGACCUAAACACCUGCCCCCAGGCCCCACCUCCAACACGGGGGAUGACAGUUCAACACGAGGCUUGGCAAGGACAUGCGUUUAAACUGUAUCACCAUAUAACCCGGGAAGUCUAGGCCCGGGCUGAUACUCAGGACAACUGAAAACGGGUCCGCACAAAACUUGUGAAUCAAUGUUGAUCACCGCGUUAUUCAUCAUAGCCAAAAGAUAAAAUCAGCCCAAACGUCCGUCCGCUGAUGGACAGGUUAAAAACGUGGCCCAUCCCUGCAACGAAAUGUGGCCCAGCCCCGAGAGGCAUGAAGUGCUGACGGGUGGAGCGACACGGAGGAGCCUCAGAAACACCCACCAUGCUGCUGCCCGGAAGAGGCAGGCACGGAAGGCCACGCGCUCUAUGACCUCAUCCAUGGGAAACGCACAGAGGCGAGGCCUGCCCGGGGCUGGGAGGAGGGGGCACAGGAGCGCCGGCUGUGGGGAUGGUGUUUCUCCCGCCGGGGGUGGCUGGCUCACCCUGGCACUGCACCGCAGUGGGGGUGGACCGGAUGCCGCUGAACUGCCUGGACUUUCAAGAGGUAAAUUCCGAGGAGAUUCUAGAAGCCAGACCUCGGAGUGGGGGAGGUGCUAGGCCUCCCUCCCACCUGGAUAACCUGACCCGGAGCCUGGGGAAGCUGGCUCGGCACCCCCAGCCCUGACCUCUCCUCGUGGGCCUGGCACGGCAGGCUCUGGGCACAGCCAGGACCCCCAGGGCCUCAGUCUAGCCCCUCAUUUUCCAAGGAGGCAACCGAGGCCCAGCCAGGCUUUCAAGGCUGGGCAGAGCCAGCCUGGAACUCAAGUCCCCAACAACUCCCAGUCAUGGAAUGUUGUACAAGAGGAUUCUGGCAGCCAACCCUGACAUCUUUAAAAAUGUUCUUUCUGGCCCUUAACUACUGGGGCACCACAGUUCCUCGGCUGUCUGUCUUUGUGCUGGGCUGUGCCUGGCUUUGUCUGUAGCUGUCAGUCCUAUUUUGUCCGCUAGGAACAAGGCCAGGGCAGCCUCUGUGAUCCCCUCGAGCUGGCCAGUCUUCCCUGACCCUUCCCUCUCGGCCCCUGGCCUUGCUGUAGUCAUGUCCAUGGACACCUCCUGCCCACCCUGGCGGGCACCACUGUGUGGACACAGUCCUGGGAGGGGUGGGGGGCACCACUUUGGGAACGGAGGGUCUGAACUCUGCCCUGUCUUUGAGCCUUUGUUUUCCUUGUGUGCAGACGAGUGCUCCAGCCAGGUCCUCUCCAAAGUCUCGGCCCCCUGCCUGGUGCAAUCUCUGCCUGACAAACCCGGCCCCCCGAAGUGCUCUCACUCCUUCAAGUCUCAUUUUGUUAACAGGGGGCUGUUCUUGUGGAGGGUCCCACACCCAUUGUCUUAGCUGACCCCACAGCAGGCAGGUGGGGAGGGCAGGGAUCUUCUGCCCACUCUGAGGACAAGGAGACAGCCUGGAAGGGGUGGCUGGAGGGUCUGGCUCUGUCCUUUCCGCUGCGCUGGGCCAGGAGCAGGAUCCCAGUUGCCCGACUACCCUGUAGUCCACACCUGGAGGAUGCUGUCACUCAUGAGUGCCCCGGACCUGGGGCGCUGUCCUGGCACUUAGCACCCCUUCCAGAUGAGGGGGCAGCCCAAGCAGGCACCUAGCAGGUGGGAGACAGAGCUGGGCCUGGCACCAACCUGGCUUCCUUCGAGGCUUUAUGGGUCCCGGGGGCAUCUGGGAAAACUCUUGAGUUGGGUUUUGGUAGCAGGAACGGGUCAGGCCCCACAUCCCAAGCAGAGGUCGUGGGGACUGGGAGGCAGCUCGCUGCCCUAAGAGGACGGUACUGGGGCCCCAGGCCCAGAGAUGAGCCUCGUCCCACCCCACGUGAUACACCCCUCCCCCUGCACGCGGCAGGCCCCUCACAGGGCUCUACUCCAGUGGCGUGUGCUGGCGGCUGGGGAGGCCCGAGAGGAUGGUGGUUCCAUGGAAAUGGGAGAGUGGACACUGUCCAGGGCGCCGGUCCCAGCCCCAGGGCCAGCGAGGUCAAGGUCUCCUUGCUGGGCCUUCCUUCCACUAGGGGUGACCACAGGAGGUGGUGUGAAUGCCCGCAGGGGCUGUUCUGAUCAAGUCCACUCAGCCUCUCCCUGUCUGCGUGUCAAGGGCACGCCAGCAGGCAGGGCACUCCCUGCACCGCCGCACAAACCGGCAUCUUCUUCGUCCUGACUUGAG